Molecule: ribosomal RNA, 451 nt
Filed under: uncultured bacterium
Lineage: Bacteria
Description: bacterial SSU rRNA
Rfam family: Bacterial small subunit ribosomal RNA
Source: RNAcentral
GUGGGGAAUAUUGGACAAUGGGGGCAACCCUGAUCCAGCAACGCCGCGUGAGGGAAGAAGGCCUUCGGGUUGUAAACCUCUGUCGAAAGGGACGAAACCCAUCAUGGCUAACAUCCAUGGUGAUUGACGGUACCUUUAGAGGAAGCACCGGCUAACUCCGUGCCAGCAGCCGCGGUAAUACGGAGGGUGCAAGCGUUGUUCGGAAUUACUGGGCGUAAAGCGUGUCUAGGUGGAUCUGUAAGUCAGGUGUUAAAGCUCUCGGCUUAACCGGGAAAUGUCGCUUGAUACUGCAGGUCUUGAGUUUCGGGGAGGUGGGUGGAAUUCCCAGUGUAGAGGUGAAAUUCGUAGAGAUUGGGAGGAACACCGGAGGCGAAAGCGACUCACUAACCGAACACUGACACUCAAGCACGAAAGCGUGGGUAGCAAACAGGAUUAGAUACCCCUGUAGUCC